GUGGGGAAUAUUGGACAAUGGGCGAAAGCCUGAUCCAGCCAUGCCGCGUGUGUGAAGAAGGUCUUCGGAUUGUAAAGCACUUUAAGUUGGGAGGAAGGGCAGUAAGUUAAUACCUUGCUGUUUUGACGUUACCGACAGAAUAAGCACCGGCUAACUUCGUGCCAGCAGCCGCGGUAAUACGAAGGGUGCAAGUGUUAAUCGGAAUUACUGGGCGUAAAGCGCGCGUAGGUGGUUUUGUAAGUUGGAGGUGAAAUCCCCGGGCUCAACCUGGGAACUGCCUCCAAAACUGCAUGACUAGAGUACGGUAGAGGGUAGUGGAAUUUCCUGUGUAGCGGUGAAAUGCGUAGAUAUAGGAAGGAACACCAGUGGCGAAGGCGACUACCUGGACUGAUACUGACACUGAGGUGCGAAAGCGUGGGGAGCAAACAGGAUUAGAUACCCGAGUAGUCC
This 450-nucleotide ribosomal RNA is filed under the name uncultured bacterium. RNAcentral's name for it is "partial 16S ribosomal RNA". It matches the Rfam family "Bacterial small subunit ribosomal RNA", at positions 354 to 796 of the family's 1533-position model. The record is from RNAcentral.